Molecule: ribosomal RNA, 274 nt
Filed under: uncultured bacterium
Lineage: Bacteria
Description: partial 16S ribosomal RNA
Rfam family: Bacterial small subunit ribosomal RNA
Source: RNAcentral
AUACGGAGGGUGCAAGCGUUAAUCGGAAUUACUGGGCGUAAAGCGUGCGUAGGCGGUUUGUUAAGUCAGAUGUGAAAGCCCCGGGCUCAACCUGGGAACUGCAUUUGAUACUGGCAGACUAGAGUAUGGUAGAGGGGGGUAGAAUUUCUGGUGUAGCGGUGAAAUGCGUAGAUAUCAGAAGGAAUACCGGUGGCGAAGGCGGCCCCCUGGACCAAUACUGACGCUGAUGUACGAAAGCGUGGGGAGCGAACAGGAUUAGAAACCCCGGUAGUCC